GUUUACAUGAUGAUUUACUACUAUUAUAAUCACGACGGUCAACAUAAAUAUUUAACCUUGAUGACCACCGCCUGUGACAGGGCAUUGGAUCUGACA
Aspergillus niger is the source of this 96-nucleotide small nucleolar RNA. It matches the Rfam family "Small nucleolar RNA snR73". The record is from Rfam. NCBI's taxonomy places the organism in Eukaryota, Fungi, Ascomycota, Eurotiomycetes, Eurotiales, Aspergillaceae.